GACGAACGCUGGCGGUGUGCUUAACACAUGCAAGUCGAACGGUAAGGCCCUUCGGGGUACACGAGUGGCGAACGGGUGAGUAACACGUGGGUGAUCUGCCCUGCACUUCGGGAUAAGCCUGGGAAACUGGGUCUAAUACCGGAUAGGACUCCGGACUGCAUGGUCUGGGGUGGAAAGCUUUUGCGGUGUGGGAUGGGCCCGCGGCCUAUCAGCUGGUUGGUGGGGUGAUGGCCUACCAAGGCGACGACGGGUAGCCGGCCUGAGAGGGUGACCGGCCACACUGGGACUGAGAUACGGCCCAGACUCCUACGGGAGGCAGCAGUGGGGAAUAUUGCACAAUGGGCGCAAGCCUGAUGCAGCGACGCCGCGUGAGGGAUGACGGCCUUCGGGUUGUAAACCUCUUUCAGCACAGACGAAGCGCAAGUGACGGUAUGUGCAGAAGAAGGACCGGCCAACUACGUGCCAGCCGCCGCUGUAA
This 478-nucleotide ribosomal RNA is filed under the name uncultured bacterium. Its description in RNAcentral is "partial 16S ribosomal RNA". It matches the Rfam family "Bacterial small subunit ribosomal RNA", at positions 28 to 523 of the family's 1533-position model. The record is from RNAcentral.